UGGGGAAUUUUGGACAAUGGGCGAAAGCCUGAUCCAGCAAUGCCGCGUGCAGGAUGAAGGCCUUCGGGUUGUAAACCGCUUUUGUCAGGGAAGAAACGAGUUUCUCUAAUACAGAGACUUAAUGACGGUACCUGAAGAAUAAGCACCGGCUAACUACGUGCCAGCAGCCGCGGUAAUACGUAGGGUGCAAGCGUUAAUCGGAAUUACUGGGCGUAAAGCGUGCGCAGGCGGUUAUGUAAGACAGAUGUGAAAUCCCCGGGCUCAACCUGGGACCUGCAUUUGUGACUGCAUAGCUAGAGUACGGCAGAGGGGGAUGGAAUUCCGCGUGUAGCAGAGAAAUGCGUAGAUAUGCGGAGGAACACCGAUGGCGAAGGCAAUCCCCUGGGCCUGUACUGACGCUCAUGCACGAAAGCGUGGGGAGCAAACA
Molecule: ribosomal RNA, 427 nt
Filed under: uncultured bacterium
Lineage: Bacteria
Description: bacterial SSU rRNA
Rfam family: Bacterial small subunit ribosomal RNA
Source: RNAcentral